AUCGCGGGCAAGGAGCAGGCAGGCAAGCGGGAUACGGGAAAACGGGGGUUUAUUCUUAGGAAUCGGGGCAAGGGACAUCAGACACAGACUGACAUCAGGUAACAUCAAUGACAGACAACGGGUUAGUACAAAACAGGAACUUAAAUACAUGGAACAAGGCAGCAGGAAACAAGACACGACUGGGCACGAUCAGGAAAUCACACGUGGGUAAUUAGGGGGCGUGGCACACACGAGGAGCGGACGAGCCGGGCAUGACAGUAUACAGGCCAACAGAGCAUGCAGAUAAUUAUCUGUGACACCCAUGGUGAACUGUGAGCAGGUAUACAGGCCAACAGAGCAUGCAGAUAAUUAUCUAUGACAGCCAUUGUACACUGGAAGCAGCUGUACAGGCCAACAGAGCAUGCAGAUAAUUAUCUGUGACGAGCAUUCUUCACUGUGAACAGGUAUACAGGCCCACAGAGCAAGCAGAUGAUUAUCUAUGACACCCAUGGUGCACUGUGAGCAAGUAUAGAGGCCCAGUGAGCUUGCAGAUAAUUAUCUGUGACACCCAUAGUGCACUGUGAGCAGGUAUGGAGGCCCACAGAGCAUGCAGAUAAUUAUCUGUGACACCCAUUGUAUACUGUGAGCAGGUAUACAGGCCAACAGAGAAUGCAGAUAAUUAUCUGUGACACCUAUUGUACACUGUGAGCAGGUAUACAGGCCAACAGAGCAUGCAGAUAAUUAUCUAUGACAGCCAUGGUGCACUGUGAACAGGUAUACAGGUCAACAGAGCAUGCAGAUAAUUCUGUGACACCCAUUGUACACUGUGAGCAGGUAUACAGUCCAACAGAGCAUGCAGAUAAUUAUCUAUGACAGCCAUGGUGCACUGUGAGCAGGUAUAGAGGCCCAGAGAGCAUGCAGAUAAUUAUCUGUGACGCCCAUUAUAUACUGUGAGCAGGUAUACAGGCCAAUAGAACAUGCAGAUAAUUAUCUGUGACACCCAUUGUAUACUGUGAGCAGGUAUAUAGGCCAAUAGAGCAUGCAGAAAAUUCUGUGACACCCAUUCUACUCUUUGAGCAGGUAUACAGGCCUAGAGAACAUGCAGAUAAUUAUCUGUGAAACCCAUGGUGCACUGUGAGCAGGUAUACAGGCCAACAGAGCAUGCAGAUAAUUAUCUGUGACACCCAUUGUAUACUGUGAGCAGGUAUACAGGCCAACAGAGCAUACAGAUAAUUAUCUAUGACACCCAUGGUGCACUGUGAGCAGGUAUACAGGCCAACAGAGCAUGCAGAUAAUUAUCUGUGACACCCAUGGUGCACUGUGAGCAGGUAUACAGGUCAACAGAGCAUGCAGAUAAUUCUGUGACACCCAUUGUACACUGUGAGCAGGUAUACAGUCCAACAGAGCAUGCAGAUAAUUAUCUAUGACAGCCAUGGUGCACUGUGAGCAGGUAUAGAGGCCCAGAGAGCAUGCAGAUAAUUAUCUGUGACGCCCAUUAUAUACUGUGAGCAGGUAUACAGGCCAAUAGAACAUGCAGAUAAUUAUCUGUGACACCCAUUGUAUACUGUGAGCAGGUAUAUAGGCCAAUAGAGCAUGCAGAAAAUUCUGUGACACCCAUUCUACUCUUUGAGCAGGUAUACAGGCCUAGAGAACAUGCAGAUAAUUAUCUGUGAAACCCAUGGUGCACUGUGAGCAGGUAUACAGGCCAACAGAGCAUGCAGAUAAUUAUCUGUGACACCCAUUGUAUACUGUGAGCAGGUAUACAGGCCAACAGAGCAUACAGAUAAUUAUCUAUGACACCCAUGGUGCACUGUGAGCAGGUAUACAGGCCAACAGAGCAUGCAGAUAAUUAUCUGUGACACCCAUGGUGCACUGUGAGCAGGUAUAGAGGCCCAGAGAGCAUGCAGGUAAUUAUCUAUGACACCCAUGGUGCACUGUGAGCAGGUAUAGAGGCCCAGAGAGCAUGCAGAUAAUUAUCUGUGACACCCAUGGUGCACUGUGAGCAGGUAUACAGGCCAACAGAGCAUGCAGAUAAUUAUCUAUGACAGCCAUGGUGCACUGUGAACAGGUAUACAGGUCAACAGAGCAUACAGAUAAUUAUCUGUGACACCCAUUGUACACCGUGAGCAGGUAUACAGGCCCACAGAGCAUGCAGAUAAUUAUCUGUGACACCCAUUGUACACUGUGAGCAGGUAUACAGGCCAACAGAGCAUGCAGAUAAUUAUCUAUGACAGCCAUGGUGCACUGUGAACAGGUAUACAGGUCAACAGAGCAUGCAGAUAAUUCUGUGACACCCAUUGUACACUGUGAGCAGGUAUACAGUCCAACAGAGCAUGCAGAUAAUUAUGUAUGACAGCCAUGGUGCACUGUGAGCAGGUAUAGAGGCCCACAGAGCAUGCAGAAAAUUAUCUGUGACACCCAUUAUACACUGUGAGCAGGUAUACAGGCCAACAGAGCAUGCAGAUAAUUAUCUAUGACAGCCAUGGUGCACUGUGAGCAGGUAUAUAGGCCAAUAGAGCAUGCAGAAAAUUCUGUGACACCCAUUCUACUCUUUGAGCAGGUAUACAGGCCUAGAGAACAUGCAGAUAAUUAUCUGUGAUACCCAUGGUGCACUGUGAGCAGGUAUACAGGCCAACAGAGCAUGCAGAUAAUUAUCUGUGACACCCAUUGUAUACUGUGAGCAGGUAUACAGGCCAACAGAGCAUACAGAUAAUUAUCUAUGACACCCAUGGUGCACUGUGAGCAGGUAUACAGGCCAACAGAGCAUGCAGAUAAUUAUCUGUGACACCCAUGGUGCACUGUGAGCAGGUAUAGAGGCCCAGAGAGCAUGCAGGUAAUUAUCUAUGACACCCAUGGUGCACUGUGAGCAGGUAUAGAGGCCCAGAAAGCAUGCAGAUAAUUAUCUGUGACACCCAUUAUACACUGUGAGCAGGUAUACAGGCCAACAGAGCAUGCAGAUAAUUAUCUGUGACACCCAUGGUACACUGUGAGCAGGUAUACAGGCCCAGAGAGCAUGCAGAUAAUUAUCUGUGACACCCAUGGUGCACUGUGAGCAGGUAUACAGGCCAACAGAGCAUGCAGAUAAUUAUCUAUGACAGCCAUGGUGCACUGUGAGCAGGUAUACAGACCCAGAGAGCAUGCAGGUAAUUAUCUGUAACAACCAUGGUGCUCUGUGAGCAGGUAUACAGGCCAACAGAGCAUGCAGAUAAUUAUCUGUGACACCCAUUGUAUACUGUGAGCAGGUAUACAGGCCAACAGAGCAUGCAGAUAAUUAUCUGUGACACUCAUUGUACACUGUGAGCAGGUAUACAGGCCAACAGAGCAUGCAGAUAAUGAUCUAUGACACCCAUGGUGCACUGUUAGCAGGUAUACAGGCCAACAGAGCAUGCAGAUAAUUAUCUAUGACAGCCAUGGUGCACUGUGAGCAGGUAUAGAGGCCCAGAGAGCAUGCAGAUAAUUAUCUGUGACACCCAUUAUAUACUGUGAGCAGGUAUAUAGGCCAAUAGAGCAUGCAGAUAAUUCUGUGACACCCAUUGUACUCUUUGAGCAGGUAUAAAGGCCUAGAGAACAUGCAGAUAAUUAUCUGUGAUACCCAUGGUGCACUGUGAGCAGGUAUACAGGCCAACAGAGCAUGGAGAUAAUUAUUUGUGAUACCCAUUGUAUACUGUGAGCAGGUAUACAGGCCAACAGAGCAUGCAGAUAAUUAUCUGUGACACUCAUUGUACACUGUGAGCAGGUAUACAGGCCAACAGAGCAUGCAGAUAAUUAUCUGUGACACCCAUGGUGCACUGUGAGCAGGUAUACAGGCCAACAGAGCAUGCAGAUAAUUAUCUAUGACAGCCAUGGUGCACUGUGAGCAGGUAUACAGGCCCCCAGAGCAUGCAGAUAAUUCUGUGACACCCCUUGUACAUUGUGAACAGGUAUCAGUACUGACUACUUUUUAUACUGAGUCACAUGUUUUAUGUGAAUUACUUUGUACUGAACUGAAGGCCAGUAUUUGUCACUGUGAAUAUGUUGUUGCAGACGUCCAUCCAGAAAUCAGAGCUGGGGGAAAAGAUAAGGUCCUUAUUCCAAUUAAUUUUUGGUACAAAAAUAAAAGUGUCUGUCGCAGAUGGAGGAUUAUAUAUUCUAGAGGUUAGUUUCUUUUUAUUUUUAAG
Brienomyrus brachyistius is the source of this 4136-nucleotide long non-coding RNA. RefSeq lists it as uncharacterized. The transcript is spliced from 7 exons. NCBI's taxonomy places the organism in Eukaryota, Metazoa, Chordata, Actinopteri, Osteoglossiformes, Mormyridae. The record is from RefSeq and is a predicted model, not a curated record.